This 649-nucleotide ribosomal RNA is filed under the name uncultured Escherichia sp. RNAcentral's name for it is "bacterial SSU rRNA". It matches the Rfam family "Bacterial small subunit ribosomal RNA", at positions 79 to 724 of the family's 1533-position model. Lineage: Bacteria; Pseudomonadati; Pseudomonadota; Gammaproteobacteria; Enterobacterales; Enterobacteriaceae. The record is from RNAcentral.
GCUGCUUUGCUGACGAGUGGCGGACGGGUGAGUAAUGUCUGGGAAACUGCCUGAUGGAGGGGGAUAACUACUGGAAACGGUAGCUAAUACCGCAUAACGUCGCAAGACCAAAGAGGGGGACCUUCGGGCCUCUUGCCAUCGGAUGUGCCCAGAUGGGAUUAGCUAGUAGGUGGGGUAAAGGCUCACCUAGGCGACGAUCCCUAGCUGGUCUGAGAGGAUGACCAGCCACACUGGAACUGAGACACGGUCCAGACUCCUACGGGAGGCAGCAGUGGGGAAUAUUGCACAAUGGGCGCAAGCCUGAUGCAGCCAUGCCGCGUGUAUGAAGAAGGCCUUCGGGUUGUAAAGUACUUUCAGCGGGGAGGAAGGGAGUAAAGUUAAUACCUUCGCUCAUUGACGUUACCCGCAGAAGAAGCACCGGCUAACUCCGUGCCAGCAGCCGCGGUAAUACGGAGGGUGCAAGCGUUAAUCGGAAUUACUGGGCGUAAAGCGCACGCAGGCGGUUUGUUAAGUCAGAUGUGAAAUCCCCGGGCUCAACCUGGGAACUGCAUCUGAUACUGGCAAGCUUGAGUCUCGUAGAGGGGGGUAGAAUUCCAGGUGUAGCGGUGAAAUGCGUAGAGAUCUGGAGGAAUACCGGUGGCGAAGGCGG